Molecule: small nucleolar RNA, 244 nt
Organism: Terrapene triunguis (Three-toed box turtle)
Lineage: Eukaryota; Metazoa; Chordata; Testudines; Emydidae
Product: small nucleolar RNA SNORD17
Source: Ensembl
GUGAAGUGAUGAUGAAUCCAUUCUCAGAGCGCUGCUGCAAUGCCCUCCCUGCAGCACGCAGAUUCCUAUUCUAGGGUCCCCGUGCUGUGCAGCCUCCAAAUACCCGCCAGCCUUUCAUUGUUCUGCUGCGAGCUGCUUGUGUGUCUGGCCAACUCUGUGCAGGAGAGGGGCAGAGCCAGCAGGGCGGGAGCCCCUCUUCAUGGGGGCUCUGUCUCAGCUAAGACGAGUGAUGCUGUCUGAUCAC